This 372-nucleotide long non-coding RNA is filed under the name Coffea arabica (coffee). RNAcentral's name for it is "long non-coding RNA (CARA_LNC004261)". The record is from RNAcentral. Lineage: Eukaryota; Viridiplantae; Streptophyta; Magnoliopsida; Gentianales; Rubiaceae.
UUUAGUAUUUUCUUUGUUAGUUCUAUCUCUUUUUCCUUCAGAUAAAUCUAAAACUCCUUUGAAAAAGAAAAAGAAAUAAUUUCUAUUUUUUGUUAAUUCAAUAAAAUAAAUAUAAUAUAAAUAGUAGACUGGAAAUGAAAGUCUAUUUCUCGCAUCCAUCACACAAAAAUAUCGGAUGCAAAACAUUUGGUACAUGAAGCCACGAUCUGAUAAAUAUACAUCCAAAUAUACAUACUUAUAUAGCUAGAAAGUAUGUGAUCAAAGAGAAAGUGGAAAAGGCUCUUAUCUUGUAACUUGAAAGAAACCCUUCUCUGUGGAGGAACAGAAUAAGAAUUUAUUCUUAUAUAUAAUAUAGACAAUCUCGAAAAAAGA